GGUUAAGCGACUAAGCGUACACGGUGGAUGCCCUGGCAGUCAGAGGCGAUGAAGGGCGUGCUAAUCUGCGAUAAGCGCCGGUAAGGUGAUAUGAACCGUUAUAACCGGCGAUACCCGAAUGGGGAAACCCAGUGUGAUUCGUCACACUAUCAUUAACUGAAUCCAUAGGUUAAUGAGGCGAACCGGGGGAACUGAAACAUCUAAGUACCCCGAGGAAAAGAAAUCAACCGAGAUUCCCCCAGUAGCGGCGAGCGAACGGGGAGGAGCCCAGAGCCUGAAUCAGCAUGUGUGUUAGUGGAAGCGUCUGGAAAGGCGCGCGAUACAGGGUGACAGCCCCGUACACAAAAGCGCAUGUGCUGUGAGCUCGAUGAGUAGGGCGGGACACGUGGUAUCCUGUCUGAAUAUGGGGGGACCAUCCUCCAAGGCUAAAUACUCCUGACUGACCGAUAGUGAACCAGUACCGUGAGGGAAAGGCGAAAAGAACCCCGGCGAGGGGAGUGAAAAAGAACCUGAAACCGUGUACGUACAAGCAGUGGGAGCCCCACCACUAAGCCAGUGGUGAACUCCACAUCCGCAUCCUUUGCUGAGGAUACGGUUAACGGAGCGAAAGCGACGUUCAACCGCAAAACAAGCAGAGGGGGCUUAG
Molecule: ribosomal RNA, 646 nt
Filed under: Salmonella enterica
Lineage: Bacteria; Pseudomonadati; Pseudomonadota; Gammaproteobacteria; Enterobacterales; Enterobacteriaceae
Also listed under: 3 other names
Description: partial 23S ribosomal RNA
Rfam family: Bacterial large subunit ribosomal RNA
Source: RNAcentral